This 373-nucleotide ribosomal RNA is filed under the name uncultured bacterium. Its description in RNAcentral is "bacterial SSU rRNA". It matches the Rfam family "Bacterial small subunit ribosomal RNA", at positions 525 to 896 of the family's 1533-position model. The record is from RNAcentral.
ACGAAGGGUGCAAGCGUUACUCGGAAUUACUGGGCGUAAAGCGUGCGUAGGCGGUCUGUUAAGUCUGAUGUGAAAUCCCCGGGCUCAACCUGGGACCUGCAUUGGAUACUGGCGGGCUAGAGUACGGUAGAGGGUGGUGGAAUUCCCGGUGUAGCAGUGAAAUGCGUAGAGAUCGGGAGGAACACUCGUGGCGAAGGCGGCCACCUGGACCGGUACUGACGCUGAGGCACGAAAGCGUGGGGAGCAAACAGGAUUAGAUACCCUGGUAGUCCACGCCCUAAACGAUGCGAACUGGAUGUUGGGCUCACUUCGGAGCUCAGUAUCGAAGCUAACGCGUUAAGUUCGCCGCCUGGGGAGUACGGUCGCAAGACUG